This 378-nucleotide ribosomal RNA is filed under the name uncultured bacterium. RNAcentral's name for it is "partial 16S ribosomal RNA". It matches the Rfam family "Bacterial small subunit ribosomal RNA", at positions 338 to 733 of the family's 1533-position model. The record is from RNAcentral.
CCUACGGGUGUCAGCAGUGGGGAAUAUUGCACAAUGGGGGAAACCCUGAUGCAGCGACGCCGCGUGAGUGAAGAAGUAAUUCGGUAUAUAAAGCUCUAUCAGCAGGGAAGCAAAUGACGGUACCUGAGUAAGAAGCCCCGGCUAACUACGUGCAAGCAGCCGCGGUACUACGUAGGGGGCAGGCGUUAUCCGGAUUUACUGGGUGUAAAGGGGACGUAGACGGCAGUGCAAGUCUGGUGUGAAAGGCCGGGGCUCAACCCCCGGACUGCUUUGGAAACUGGAAGGCUGGAGUGCAGGAGAGGUAAGUGGAAUGCGUAGUGUAGCGGUGAAAUGCGUAGAUAUUAGGCGGAACAACAGUGGCGAAGGCGGCUUACUGGA